AUUGAACGCUGGCGGCAUGCCUUACACAUGCAAGUCGAACGGCAGCACGGGAGCAAUCUUGGUGGCGAGUGGCGAACGGGUGAGUAAAGUAUCGGAAUGUGCCCAGUCGUGGGGGAUAACGUAGCGAAAGUUACGCUAAUACCGCAUACGAUCUAUGGAUGAAAGCGGGGGAUCGCAAGCCCUCGCGCGAUUGGAGCGGCCGAUAUCAGAUUAGGUAGUUGGUGGGGUAAAGGCGCACCAAGCCGACGAUCUGUAGCUGGUCUGAGAGGACGACCAGCCACACUGGGACUGAGACACGGCCCAGACUCCUACGGGAGGCAGCAGGGGGGAAUGUUGGACAAUGGGCGAAAGCCGGAUCCAGCCAUGCCGCGUGCAGGAUGAAGGCCUUCGGGUUGUAAACUGCUUUUGUACGGAACGAAAAGGUUUGGCCUAAUAAGCUGAGCUCAUGACGGUACCGUAAGAAUAAGCACCGGCUAACUACGUGCCAGCCGCCGCAGUAA
Molecule: ribosomal RNA, 500 nt
Filed under: uncultured bacterium
Lineage: Bacteria
Description: partial 16S ribosomal RNA
Rfam family: Bacterial small subunit ribosomal RNA
Source: RNAcentral